UGCCUUUACAGCGACAACGUGGUGUGGGU
RNAcentral lists this non-coding RNA (29 nucleotides) under Rattus norvegicus (Norway rat). Lineage: Eukaryota; Metazoa; Chordata; Mammalia; Rodentia; Muridae. The record is from RNAcentral.